CAAGGAACCAGCCUACCCGGCUGGAACCUCCCACCACUGUGUACCGAACUUUUGUUGCCUCGGCGGGCCGGGCGCCCACCAGCGUCCCCCCUUGCGGGAGCCGCCCGCCGAAGGACCAUCCAAAACCUUUUGUUUAUAACGUCUGAUUACUUUUUAUAAAGAAAUA
RNAcentral lists this unclassified non-coding RNA (166 nucleotides) under uncultured Leptodiscella. Its description in RNAcentral is "sequence contains ITS1". Lineage: Eukaryota; Fungi; Ascomycota. The record is from RNAcentral.